AAAACAGUCUGGUCAGGCUUAAAGGAUAAUAGGAAAGUAGGGCUGGAAAGGACCUCACAAGGUCAUCUAGUCAAGAGCCCUGCUUAAGGCAAGAUCAUCCUGAUUAAAUAAUCCUAGCAUUGUGGCCAUCAAACCUGCUUUUGAAAGU
Gavialis gangeticus (Gharial) is the source of this 148-nucleotide long non-coding RNA. RefSeq lists it as uncharacterized. NCBI's taxonomy places the organism in Eukaryota, Metazoa, Chordata, Crocodylia, Gavialidae. The record is from RefSeq and is a predicted model, not a curated record. The transcript is spliced from 4 exons.